This 253-nucleotide ribosomal RNA is filed under the name uncultured bacterium. RNAcentral describes it as "partial 16S ribosomal RNA". It matches the Rfam family "Bacterial small subunit ribosomal RNA", at positions 524 to 776 of the family's 1533-position model. The record is from RNAcentral.
UACGUAGGUGACCAGCGUUGUCCGGAUUUACCGGGCGUAAAGCGCGCGCAGGCGGUCGUUCAAGUCGAGUGUGAAAGCCCCCGGCUCAACUGGGGAGGGUCACUCGAUACUGAUCGACUGGAAGGCAGGAGAGGGAAGCGGAAUUCCCGGUGUAGUGGUGAAAUGCGUAGAUAUCGGGAGGAACACCAGUGGCGAAGGCGGCUUCCUGGCCUGUUCUUGACGCUGAGGCGCGAAAGCUAGGGGAGCAGACGGG